UUGACAGACUGUUCCAUCGUUUCCGCCUAUGGCGGAGAAGGAAAGUCGGGACAGCACAGGGCGCCUUACUUCCUAACGGGAAGGGUUCCGCCUCAGGCGGGAUACAGCAAGUGCCACAGAAAAUAACCGUCCGCCUCAGGCGGAUAAGGGUGAAAACGUGAGGUAAGAGCUCACGCAAUAUGGUGGUAACAUCAUAUUGGGGUAAACCUUAGGGGCUGCAAGAUCAAAUAUACCGGCAUUUCCGCUACGGCGGAAUAAGGGCUGCCCGUCUGAUGCCGGAGGGUAGAUUGCUAAAGUUGCAUGGUGACAUGUAACGCAGAUAAAUGAUGGAAUCCAUCCGCCUUAGGCGGAGAGGAACAGAAUCCCGCUUAUAGGUCUGUCGAAUCC
This 387-nucleotide RNase P RNA is filed under the name Bacteroidota bacterium. RNAcentral's name for it is "Bacteroidetes bacterium (marine metagenome) RNase P RNA component class A". It matches the Rfam family "Bacterial RNase P class A". Rfam says of the family: Ribonuclease P (RNase P) is a ubiquitous endoribonuclease, found in archaea, bacteria and eukarya as well as chloroplasts and mitochondria. Its best characterised activity is the generation of mature 5'-ends of tRNAs by cleaving the 5'-leader elements of precursor-tRNAs. Lineage: Bacteria; Pseudomonadati; Bacteroidota. The record is from RNAcentral.